This 305-nucleotide ribosomal RNA is filed under the name uncultured bacterium. Its description in RNAcentral is "bacterial SSU rRNA". It matches the Rfam family "Bacterial small subunit ribosomal RNA", at positions 333 to 634 of the family's 1533-position model. The record is from RNAcentral.
UUUGCCCUACGGGGCGCAGCAGUGAGGAAUAUUGGUCAAUGGGCUUACGCCUGAACCAGCCAAGUCGCGUGAGGGAAGACUGCCCUAUGGGUCGUAAACCUCUUUUGUCAGGGAGCAACGCCGGCUACGUGUAGCCGGACUGAGAGUACCUGAAGAAAAAGCAUCGGCUAACUCCGUGCCAGCAGCCGCGGUAAUACGUAGGGAGCAAGCGUUAUCCGGAUUUACUGGGUGUAAAGGGCGCGUAGGCGGGAUGGCAAGUCAGAUGUGAAAUCCAGGGGCUCAACCCCUGAACUGCAUUUGAAACU